Molecule: ribosomal RNA, 472 nt
Filed under: uncultured bacterium
Lineage: Bacteria
Description: partial 16S ribosomal RNA
Rfam family: Bacterial small subunit ribosomal RNA
Source: RNAcentral
GACGAACGCUGGCGGCGUGCUUAACACAUGCAAGUCGAACGCUGAAGCUUGGUGCUUGCACUGGGUGGAUGAGUGGCGAACGGGUGAGUAAUACGUGAGUAACCUGCCCUUGACUCUGGGAUAAGCCUGGGAAACUGGGUCUAAUACUGGAUACGACAUGUCACUGCAUGGUGGUGUGUGGAAAGGGUUUUACUGGUUUUGGAUGGGCUCACGGCCUAUCAGCUUGUUGGUGGGGUAAUGGCUCACCAAGGCGACGACGGGUAGCCGGCCUGAGAGGGUGACCGGCCACACUGGGACUGAGACACGGCCCAGACUCCUACGGGAGGCAGCAGUGGGGAAUAUUGCACAAUGGGCGGAAGCCUGAUGCAGCGACGCCGCGUGAGGGAUGACGGCCUUCGGGUUGUAAACCUCUUUCAGCACGGAAGAAGCGAAAGUGCCGGUACGUGCAGAAGAAGCGCCGGCUAACUACGUG